Molecule: ribosomal RNA, 446 nt
Filed under: uncultured bacterium
Lineage: Bacteria
Description: bacterial SSU rRNA
Rfam family: Bacterial small subunit ribosomal RNA
Source: RNAcentral
GAUUAACGCGAAGAACCUUACCUGGGCUAGAAUGCCUCCGACAACCCUAGAGAUAGGGCUUCUUAGGGAAACCUAGGCGGAGUGCAAGGUGCUGCAUGGCUGUCGUCAGCUCGUGUCGUGAGAUGUUGGGUUAAGUCCCGCAACGAGCGCAACCCUUAUCGAUAGUUGCUAGCGGUUCGGCCGAGCACUCUAUUGAGACUGCCGUUGACAAAACGGAGGAAGGUGGGGAUGACGUCAAGUCCUCAUGGCCUUUAUGCCUGGGGCUACACACGUGCUACAAUGGCCGGUACAAAGGGCUGCAAACCCGUAAGGGGGAGCGAAUCUCAAAAAACCGGCCUCAGUUCAGAUCGAGGUCUGCAACUCGACCUCGUGAAGGCGGAAUCGCUAGUAAUCCCGGAUCAGCACGCCGGGGUGAAUACGUUCCCGGGCCUUGUACACACCGAAUC